RNAcentral lists this ribosomal RNA (496 nucleotides) under uncultured bacterium. Its description in RNAcentral is "partial 16S ribosomal RNA". It matches the Rfam family "Bacterial small subunit ribosomal RNA", at positions 29 to 507 of the family's 1533-position model. The record is from RNAcentral.
AUGCACGCUGGCGGCGUGCCUAAUACAUGCCAGUCGCGCGAACAGACGAGGAGCUUGCUCCUCUGACGUUAGCGGCGGACGGGUGAGUAACACGUGGAUAACCUACCUAUAAGACUGGGAUAACUUCGGGAAACCGGAGCUAAUACCGGAUAAUAUAUUGAACCGCAUGGUUCAAUAGUGAAAGACGGUUUUGCUGUCACUUAUAGAUGGAUCCGCGCCGCAUUAGCUAGUUGGCAAGGUAACGGCUUACCAAGGCAACGAUGCGUAGCCGACCUGAGAGGGUGAUCGGCCACACUGGAACUGAGACACGGUCCAGACUCCUACGGGAGGCAGCAGUAGGGAAUCUUCCGCAAUGGGCGAAAGCUUGACGGAGCAACGCCGCGUGAGUGAUGAAGGUCUUCGGAUCGUAAAACUCUGUUAUUAGGGAAGAACAAAUGUGUAAGUAACUAUGCACGUCUUGACGGUACCUAAUCAGAAAGCCACGGCUAACUACGUG